CUUGUUGGUAGGGUAGUGGCCUACCAAGGUGGUAACGGGUAACGGGGAAUCAGGGUUUGAUUCCGGAGAGGGAGCCUUAGAAACGGCUACCACGUCCAAGGAAGGCAGCAGGCGCGCAAAUUACCCACUCUAGACACUGGGAGGUAGUGACGAGAAAUAACGGGGGUGCCCUAAGGGCGCCGUCUGUAAUGAACGAAACACAAAAGCGUCGGUGAGGACCUACUGGAGGGCAAGUCUGGUGCCAGCAGCCGCGGUAAUUCCAGCUCCAGUAGUGUAUAUCAACAUUGUUGCGCUUAAAACGCUCGUAGUUGGGUUGCGACCGCACGCCGCCGUUGAAAGACGGCGGUUAGGCAGUUUGUACUGUGGUGCGUGAGUGAGUGCCGGUCGGGGCCGCGUUUGAAUAGGCGGCCUCCAACCCGGCAAAGUGUGCCUUGAAUAAAGCAUGAUGCUAAAAGUGAGCCUGAGGCUGGAGUGUAAUAGCAUGGAACGACGAGUGACCAAGGGUGCGCCCGCCCCGAACGACAGGGGGGUCAAUGGCCGAGAGGAAAGUUUGCGGGCACUCGUACUUUGGGGCGAGAGGUGAAAUUCUGAGACCCCCAAGAGACGGCCUACUGCGAAGGCAUUUGCCAAAGAUGUUUCCGUUGAUCAAGAACGAAGGUCAGAGGAUCGAAGACGAUCAGAUACCGUCCUAGUUUUGACAGAAAACUCUGCCGGCGUAGGUGGGCGGCGACCACUCGACAGGAGACGAGUCACCGCGGACCUUGGGGGAAACCUGAGCUUUCGGGCUGCUGGGAGAAUAUCGCUGCAAGGCUGAAAUUUAAAGAAAUUGACGGAGAGGCACCACCAGGAGUGGAGCUUGCGGCUUAAUUUGACUCAACACGGGGAAACUCACCGGGUCCAGACAUUGGGAGGAUUGACAGAGUGGUGGAUCUUUCACGAUUCGGUGGAUGGUGGUGCAUGGCCGUUCUUAGUUGGUGGAGUGAUUUGUCAGGUUUAUUCCGGUAACGAGCGAGAC
RNAcentral lists this ribosomal RNA (1015 nucleotides) under Ceratomyxa dehoopi. Its description in RNAcentral is "bacterial SSU rRNA". It matches the Rfam family "Eukaryotic small subunit ribosomal RNA", at positions 319 to 1341 of the family's 1831-position model. The record is from RNAcentral. Lineage: Eukaryota; Metazoa; Cnidaria; Myxozoa; Bivalvulida; Ceratomyxidae.